RNAcentral lists this ribosomal RNA (522 nucleotides) under uncultured bacterium. Its description in RNAcentral is "bacterial SSU rRNA". It matches the Rfam family "Bacterial small subunit ribosomal RNA", at positions 777 to 1297 of the family's 1533-position model. The record is from RNAcentral.
AAUAGAUACCCGGGUAGUCCACGCCGUAAACGAUGAGUGCUAAGUGUUAGAGGGUUUCCGCCCUUUAGUGCUGCAGCUAACGCAUUAAGCACUCCGCCUGGGGAGUACGGCCGCAAGGCUGAAACUCGAAGGAAUUGACGGGGGCCCGCACAAGCGGUGGAGCAUGUGGUUUAAUUCGAAGCAACGCGAAGAACCUUACCAGGUCUUGACAUCCUCUGCCAACCCUAGAGAUAGGGCGUUCCCCUUCGGGGGACAGAGUGACAGGUGGUGCAUGGUUGUCGUCAGCUCGUGUCGUGAGAUGUUGGGUUAAGUCCCGCAACGAGCGCAACCCUUGAUCUUAGUUGCCAGCAUUUAGUUGGGCACUCUAAGGUGACUGCCGGUGACAAACCGGAGGAAGGUGGGGAUGACGUCAAAUCAUCAUGCCCCUUAUGACCUGGGCUACACACGUGCUACAAUGGAUGGUACAAAGAGCUGCGAACCCGCGAGGGUAAGCGAAUCUCAUAAAGCCAUUCUCAGUUCGGA